AUUGAACGCUGGCGGCAUGCCUUACACAUGCAAGUCGAACGGCAGCACGGGAGCAAUCCUGGUGGCGAGUGGCGAACGGGUGAGUAAUAUAUCGGAACGUGCCCAGUCGUGGGGAUAACGUAGCGAAAGCUACGCUAAUACCGCAUACGAUCUAUGGAUGAAAGCGGGGAUCGCAGACCUCGCGCGAUUGGAGCGGCCGAUAUCAGAUUAGGUAGUUGGUGAGGUAAAGGCUCACCAAGCCGACGAUCUGUAGCUGGUCUGAGAGGACGACCAGCCACACUGGGACUGAGACACGGCCCAGACUCCUACGGAGGCAGCAGUGGGGAAUUUUUGGGACAAUGGGCGCAAGCCUGAUCCAGCAAUGCCGCGUGCAGGAUGAAGGCC
This 384-nucleotide ribosomal RNA is filed under the name uncultured bacterium. RNAcentral's name for it is "bacterial SSU rRNA". It matches the Rfam family "Bacterial small subunit ribosomal RNA", at positions 30 to 416 of the family's 1533-position model. The record is from RNAcentral.